GAAAGUUACUAAGGGCGCACGGGGGAUGCCUAAAGGCUCUCAGAGGCGAGGAAGGACGUGAUAAGCUGCGAAAAGCGUCGGGGAGGUGCAAAUAACCAAAGAUCCGGCGAUAUCCGAAUGGGGGAACCCAUCCCGAUGAAGUCGGGAUAUUCUGCGGUGAGCAGAAGGCGAACGCGGGGAACUGAAACAUCUAAGUACCCGCAGGAAGAGAAAACAAUAGUGAUUCCCUGAGUAGUGGCGAGCGAAAGGGGAGUAGCCCAAACCAAUAAUGUUAAGGCAUUAUUGGGGUAGAAGGACUGCCAAAAAAGCCUGAAGAUUGAUAUUUGAACACAACUGGAAAGUUGGGCCAGAGAGGGUGAUAGCCCCGUAAGAGAAAUUGAUUGAAGGCGAGGCAGGAUCCUGAGUAGCGCGGGACCGGAGGAAUCCUGCGUGAAACAGCCGGCACCAUCCGGUAAGGCUAAAUACUCCUGAGAGACCGAUAGCGAAGAAGUACCGUGAGGGAAAGGUGAAAAGAACCCCGGACAGGGGAGUGAAAAAGAACCUGAAACCGUGCGCUUACAAGCGGUCGGAGCCCUGAGCUUGUCGAAGGGUGACGGCGUGCCUUUUGCAUAAUGAGCCUACGAGUUACGCCUCUCUGGCGAGGUUAACCACAAAAGGAGGUGGGGAGCCGAAGCGAAAGCGAGUCUGAAAAGGGCGAUAAGUCAGAGGGGGUAGACGCGAAACUUUGUGAUCUACCCAUGGCCAGGCUGAAGCCUCGGUAAUACGAGGUGGAGGGCCGAACCGGUAAACGUUGAAAAGUUUUCGGAUGAGCUGUGGGUAGGGGUGAAAGGCUAAUCAAACUGAGAGAUAGCUCGUACUCCCCGAAAUGUCUUUAGGGACAGCCUGGGGUGAUAGUGUCUUAGAGGUAGAGCUACUGAUUGGAUGCGGGGGUUUCACCGCCUACCAAAUCCUGACAAACUCCGAAUGCUAAGACAUGAUACCCUGGAGUGAGGCUAUGGGUGCUAAGGUCCAUGGCCGAGAGGGCAAGAACCCGGAUCACCGGCUAAGGUCCCCAAAUGUAUGUUAAGUUGGUAAAACGAGGUCUGACUGCAUUGACAGCUAGGAUGUUGGCUUGGAAGCAGCCAUUCAUUUAAAGAGUGCGUAACAGCUCACUAGUCGAGCGGUUGGGCGUGGAUAAUAAGCGGGCAUAAAACAUACUACCGAAGCUGUGGAUUUAUACUAUAGAGGUAUAAGUGGUAGGGGAGCAUUCCAGGAUUGCGGAAGGAUAUACGCGAGUAUAUCUGGAGAGACUGGAAAAGCAAAUGUAGGCAUAAGUAACGAUAAUGCAGGUGUAAACCCUGCACACCGGAAGACUAAGGUUUCCUGAUCAACGUCAAUCGGAUCAGGGUUAGUCGGGGCCUAAGGCGUACCCGAAAGGGGGAGCUAAUGGACAACAGGUUAAUAAUCCUGUACUUGCUAUAAGUGCGAAGCGGGGACGUUUAACUGAGGCACUUACGAACUGACGGAAUAGUUCGUAGAGCAUAGCCUACGGGCGAAGCGAAAGUGAUAAGGGAGAACCGAGAAAAGCCGUGGAAGCGUCAGCUUAUAGCAACCCGUACCGCAAACCGACACAGGUAGUCGAGGAGAGUAUCCAAAGGUGCUCGAGUGAAUCAUGGCUAAGGAACUAGGCAAACUGACCCCGUAACUUCGGGAGAAGGGGUCCCUAAGCAGGCAAGUUUAGGGCGCAGAGAAAUGGCCCAGGCGACUGUUUAACAAAAACACAUGGCUUUGCGAAAUUGAAAGAUGAAGUAUAAGGCCUGACACCUGCCCGGUGCCGGAAGGUUAAGGGGAGAGGUUAGUGGCGUAAGCUGCGAAGCUUUGAACCGAAGCCCCGGUAAACGGCGGCCGUAACUAUAACGGUCCUAAGGUAGCGAAAUUCCUUGUCGGGUAAGUUCCGACC
Molecule: ribosomal RNA, 1939 nt
Filed under: Bacteroidales bacterium Bact_24
Lineage: Bacteria; Pseudomonadati; Bacteroidota; Bacteroidia; Bacteroidales
Description: bacterial LSU rRNA
Rfam family: Bacterial large subunit ribosomal RNA
Source: RNAcentral